Molecule: ribosomal RNA, 634 nt
Filed under: Pediococcus pentosaceus
Lineage: Bacteria; Bacillati; Bacillota; Bacilli; Lactobacillales; Lactobacillaceae
Description: bacterial SSU rRNA
Rfam family: Bacterial small subunit ribosomal RNA
Source: RNAcentral
UUAUGACGUACUUGUACUGAUUGAAAUUUUAACACGAAGUGAGUGGCGAACGGGUGAGUAACACGUGGGUAACCUGCCCAGAAGUAGGGGAUAACACCUGGAAACAGAUGCUAAUACCGUAUAACAGAGAAAACCGCAUGGUUUUCUUUUAAAAGAUGGCUCUGCUAUCACUUCUGGAUGGACCCGCGGCGUAUUACCUAGUUGGUGAGGUAAAGGCUCACCAAGGCAGUGAUACGUAGCCGACCUGAGAGGGUAAUCGGCCACAUUGGGACUGAGACACGGCCCAGACUCCUACGGGAGGCAGCAGUAGGGAAUCUUCCACAAUGGACGCAAGUCUGAUGGAGCAACGCCGCGUGAGUGAAGAAGGGUUUCGGCUCGUAAAGCUCUGUUGUUAAAGAAGAACGUGGGUAAGAGUAACUGUUUACCCAGUGACGGUAUUUAACCAGAAAGCCACGGCUAACUACGUGCCAGCAGCCGCGGUAAUACGUAGGUGGCAAGCGUUAUCCGGAUUUAUUGGGCGUAAAGCGAGCGCAGGCGGUCUUUUAAGUCUAAUGUGAAAAGCCUUCGGCUCAACCGAAGAAGUGCAUUGGAAACUGGGAGACUUGAGUGCAGAAGAGGACAGUGGAACUCCAUG